This 253-nucleotide ribosomal RNA is filed under the name uncultured bacterium. RNAcentral describes it as "partial 16S ribosomal RNA". It matches the Rfam family "Bacterial small subunit ribosomal RNA", at positions 524 to 776 of the family's 1533-position model. The record is from RNAcentral.
GACAGAGGGGGCAAGCGUUGCUCGGAAUUACUGGGCGUAAAGGGCGCGUAGGCGGGAUGGCAAGUCGGUCGUGAAAUCCCUCGGCUCAACUGAGGAGCGUCGAUCGAAACUGCCGUUCUUGAGGGUUGCAGAGGAGACUGGAAUUCCCGGUGUAGCGGUGAAAUGUGUAGAGAUCGGGAGGAACACCGGUGGCGAAGGCGACUUCCUGGCCUGUUCUUGACGCUGAGGCGCGAAAGCUAGGGUAGCAAACGGG